RNAcentral lists this ribosomal RNA (253 nucleotides) under uncultured bacterium. Its description in RNAcentral is "partial 16S ribosomal RNA". It matches the Rfam family "Bacterial small subunit ribosomal RNA", at positions 524 to 776 of the family's 1533-position model. The record is from RNAcentral.
UACAGAGGGUGCAAGCGUUGUUCGGAAUUACUGGGCGUAAAGCGCGUGUAGGUGGCGGCGUUAGUCGGGUGUGAAAUCCCUCAGCUCAACUGAGGAAGUGCACUCGAUACUGCGCUGCUUGAGUACCGGAGGGGAUGGCGGAAUUCCCGGUGUAGAGGUGAAAUUCGUAGAUAUCGGGAGGAACACCUGUGGCGAAGGCGGCCAUCUGGACGGUCACUGACACUGAGACGCGAAAGCGUGGGUAGCAAACAGG